CCUACGGGAGGCAGCAGUCGAGAAUCAUUCACAAUGGGCGAAACCCUGAUGCUGCGAAGCCGCGUGGGGGAAUGAAGGUCUUCGGAUUGUACACCCCUGUCAUGUGGGAGCAAAUUAAAAAGAUAGUACCACAAGAGGAAGAGACGGCUAACACUGUGCCAGCAGCCGCGGUACUACGGAGGUCUCACGCGUUGUUCGGAAUCACUGGGCGUAAAGGGUGCGUAGGCUGGUUCGUACGUCGUGUGUGAAAGGCGCGGGCUCAACCAGCGGACUGCACAUGAUACUGGGAGACUAGAGUAAUGGAGGGGGAACCGGAAUGCUUGGUGUAGCAGUGAAAGGCGUAGAUA
RNAcentral lists this ribosomal RNA (347 nucleotides) under uncultured bacterium. RNAcentral's name for it is "partial 16S ribosomal RNA". It matches the Rfam family "Bacterial small subunit ribosomal RNA", at positions 338 to 696 of the family's 1533-position model. The record is from RNAcentral.